GACGAACGCUGGCGGCGCGCUUAACACAUGCAAGUCGAACGGAAAGGCCUGCUUUCCCUUGUGGAUUGCGGGUACUCGAGUGGCGAACGGGUGAGUAACACGUGAGUGAUCUGCCCCCAACUUGGGUAUAAGCCUGGGAAACUGGGUCUAAUUCCCGAUAGGACUGCAGGGUGGUGCCUGUGGUGGAAAACGAUUUUCUAGUGGUUGGGGAUGAGCUCGCGGCCUAUCAGCUUGUUGGUGGGGUAAUGGCCUACCAAGGCGGCGACGGGUAGCCGGCCUGAGAGGGUGGACGGCCACGUUGGGACUGAGAUACGGCCCAGACUCCUACGGGAGGCAGCAGUGGGGAAUAUUGCACAAUGGGCGGAAGCCUGAUGCAGCGACGCCGCGUGGGGGAUGACGGCCUUCGGGUUGUAAACUCCUUUCGACCGCGAGGAAGCCACCUGGUUGGAAGGGUGGUGACGGUAGUGGUAGAAGAAGCACCGGCUAACUACGUG
This 494-nucleotide ribosomal RNA is filed under the name uncultured bacterium. RNAcentral describes it as "partial 16S ribosomal RNA". It matches the Rfam family "Bacterial small subunit ribosomal RNA", at positions 28 to 507 of the family's 1533-position model. The record is from RNAcentral.